Molecule: ribosomal RNA, 507 nt
Filed under: uncultured bacterium
Lineage: Bacteria
Description: partial 16S ribosomal RNA
Rfam family: Bacterial small subunit ribosomal RNA
Source: RNAcentral
GACGAACGCUGGCGGCGUGCCUAAUACAUGCAAGUCGAACGCAUUUUCUUUCACCGUAGCUUGCUACACCGAAAGAAAGUGAGUGGCGAACGGGUGAGUAACACGUGGGUAACCUGCCCAUCAGCGGGGGAUAACACUUGGAAACAGGUGCUAAUACCGCAUAAUUUCAUUUACCGCAUGGUAGAUGGUUGAAAGGCGCUUUUGCGUCACUGAUGGAUGGACCCGCGGUGCAUUAGCUAGUUGGUGGGGUACCGGACUACCAAGGCUGGGAUGCGUAUCCGACCGGAGAGGAUGAUCAGCCACACUGAGAGUGAGACAAGGCCCAGACUCAUCCAGGAGGGAGCAGUAGGGAUUCUUCGGCAAGAGACGCAAUUCAGACCGAGCAGCGCCGCGUGAGUGAAGAAUGUUUUCGGAUUGUAAAACUCUGUUGUUAGAGAAGAACAAGGAUGAGAGUGGAAAGAUCAUCCCUUGACGGUAUCUAACCAGAAAGCCACGGCUAACUACGUG